GUCGAACGCUGGCGGCAUGCCUAAUACAUGCAAGUCGAGCGAACAGAUGAAGUGCUUGCACUUCUGACGUUAGCGGCGAACGGGUGAGUAACACGUAAGGAAUCUACCUAUAAGCGGGGGAUAACAUUUGGAAACGGGUGCUAAUACCGCAUAAUAUCUUCUUCCGCAUGGAGGAAGAUUGAAAGACGGCUCUGCUGUCACUUAUAGAUGACCUUGCGGUGCAUUAGUUAGUUGGUGGGGUAAUGGCCUACCAAGACGAUGAUGCAUAGCCGACCUGAGAGGGUGAUCGGCCACAUUGGGACUGAGACACGGCCCAAACUCCUACGGGAGGCAGCAGUAGGGAAUCUUCCGCAAUGGGCGAAAGCCUGACGGAGCAAUGCCGCGUGAGUGAAGAAGGCCUUCGGGUCGUAAAACUCUGUUAUAAGAGAAGAACAAAUUGUAGAGUAACUGCUACAGUCUUGACGGUAUCUUAUCAGAAAGCCACGGCUAACUACGUGCCAGCCGCCGCUGUAA
This 513-nucleotide ribosomal RNA is filed under the name uncultured bacterium. Its description in RNAcentral is "partial 16S ribosomal RNA". It matches the Rfam family "Bacterial small subunit ribosomal RNA", at positions 28 to 523 of the family's 1533-position model. The record is from RNAcentral.